RNAcentral lists this transfer RNA (76 nucleotides) under Lentisphaerota bacterium. RNAcentral describes it as "Lentisphaerae bacterium (feces metagenome) tRNA-Leu". It matches the Rfam family "tRNA". From Rfam's summary of the family: Transfer RNA (tRNA) molecules are approximately 80 nucleotides in length. Their secondary structure includes four short double-helical elements and three loops (D, anti-codon, and T loops). The record is from RNAcentral. Lineage: Bacteria; Pseudomonadati; Lentisphaerota.
GCCCGGCUGGCGGAAUGGCAUACGCAGCAGACUUAAAAUCUGCGUUCUACGGGUUCGAGUCCCGUGCCGGGUACCA